RNAcentral lists this transfer RNA (94 nucleotides) under Perca fluviatilis (European perch). It matches the Rfam family "tRNA". Rfam says of the family: Transfer RNA (tRNA) molecules are approximately 80 nucleotides in length. Their secondary structure includes four short double-helical elements and three loops (D, anti-codon, and T loops). Further hydrogen bonds mediate the characteristic L-shaped molecular structure. tRNAs have two regions of fundamental functional importance: the anti-codon, which is responsible for specific mRNA codon recognition, and the 3' end, to which the tRNAs corresponding amino acid is attached (by aminoacyl-tRNA synthetases). tRNAs cope with the degeneracy of the genetic code in two manners: having more than one tRNA (with a specific anti-codon) for a particular amino acid; and 'wobble' base-pairing, i.e. permitting non-standard base-pairing at the 3rd anti-codon position. Lineage: Eukaryota; Metazoa; Chordata; Actinopteri; Perciformes; Percidae. The record is from Rfam by way of RNAcentral.
GCUCCAGUGGCGCAAUCGGUCAGCGCGCGGUACUUAUAAGACAGUAUUCAGCCGAGUAAUGCCGAGGUUGUGAGUUCGAUCCUCACCUGGAGCA